UAUUUAUCAAGAGAGCAGUGAGGGAACUAGCCCAAUGAACUGCCGACAACCUGUUGUGUUGUGUACAGCGCAACAAGGUGCCACUUCUAGCCCACAAGGGAAAGAUAAUCA
Molecule: non-coding RNA, 111 nt
Filed under: Candidatus Yanofskyibacteriota
Lineage: Bacteria
Description: Candidatus Yanofskybacteria SAM-I sequence
Rfam family: SAM riboswitch aptamer (S box leader)
About the family: The SAM riboswitch is found upstream of a number of genes which code for proteins involved in methionine or cysteine biosynthesis in Gram-positive bacteria.
Source: RNAcentral